AAAAAAAACUGGUUUCACUUUCAAACAGAUGUAAUUUACCUUAAAUAAUUGUAUCUCAACCUCUAAAUUGAACUUUAAUCACAUACAGGAGGCUCUUGCAGGGUCUAGCAAGCUAUUAACAUAGCAGGGGAUAAGAAAAUCUUAAUUAAACAGAACUUGCAAUAAAGAAAGCCUAAACAGGGCUCUCUUUACAGGAAGUGUUUAUGG
This is a non-coding RNA of Pelobates cultripes (western spadefoot toad), 207 nucleotides long. The record is from the annotation of a GenBank genome assembly. Lineage: Eukaryota; Metazoa; Chordata; Amphibia; Anura; Pelobatidae.